RNAcentral lists this ribosomal RNA (441 nucleotides) under Triticum aestivum (bread wheat). RNAcentral describes it as "partial small subunit ribosomal RNA". The record is from RNAcentral. Lineage: Eukaryota; Viridiplantae; Streptophyta; Magnoliopsida; Poales; Poaceae.
AUGAGCGAGUGGAGGGCAAGAUCUGCAGCUAUCGCCAAGGCCGCCAUAUUCUUGCGACACUGCGAGCUUCUCCGGCCGCCGCCUGCGUUGCUCUCUCUCUCGUUCUCAUCUCUCAAUCCACCCAUGGUCAUGGGGAAUCAUAAGCUCACUCUGAAGACCGAGGAGGACUCCAAUCCUCGUGAUAAGUACAUAACUUGGACUGACGAGGUGACAAGGUUUAUGCUUGAGUGGUAUAUCGACCUUCGUAAGGACAAACCUGCAACUUUCAAGUUCAAGAAACAACACCACUUGCAAUGUGUUGAUGCUCUAAAUGCCAAGUUUUUGCUUGGUGUCACUCAAACCCAAGUGGAUCGACACUAUCGUCAAUGCAAGGAGAAGUGGGGUUGGGUGCGUCGUGCCCUUGACAGAACCACUUUCACAUUCACACUUUCCGGGUCAUAA